This is a long non-coding RNA of Acipenser ruthenus (sterlet), 3680 nucleotides long. RefSeq lists it as uncharacterized. Lineage: Eukaryota; Metazoa; Chordata; Actinopteri; Acipenseriformes; Acipenseridae. The transcript has 3 exons. The record is from RefSeq and is a predicted model, not a curated record.
UCGAUCGUACAGCAGUAUCUGCAGCGCAGCCUCCACGCCGUAUCCCAAACGAGAUCAUACGCGUCUCAGGGCUCAUAAUAAACUGACGCUCUGCUGUCAAGGUUUUCAAAUGCACUCAUGACAGCACUGGCGCCGAAGUCUCAAGCAGCGAGUAAUACGUACACGAUCCAGAUGUGAAAGUUAACAACUACACUCGCAGUUUGUUUAUGACGCUUUCGUCCCGUCUGCUGCUUUUAAAAAAAGGGGAUGUCGCAUCUUUUAAAGCUCCCACAACGCCUUGCAGGACCCUACAAUGAAAUUCAAGAAGUUUUUUUUUUUUUUGUUUUGUUUUGUUUCGGCGCCAUUUUCGAUUGGGUUGGAGCUUUCUGUUCCAGGCUCCCCCCGUGUCCGCAGUGGCUCCGGCAGGCCUGCACACCAGUAGGCUGGACCCAGGGAGUCGGGCCUUGGUGUCCACUUGGCUGGCUUUCAUGAAGAGAUCUGAAGCGUGCCGUACCACUGCUGACCACCAGGGGGCCCACACUGUCAUCGGAACGCCUAAAAUUGCUGGCAGGAAGCUGAACCAGCUAUCUGAACCAGGUUGACUGUUAGGAGUUGUUCAUGCACCUGUAAGAGAACGAACAAUACAUUUAACAGGGGCUGCUCAGACUCCUGGCUGUGGAAUCAUUUACAUUGAUGGUAGUUGGGGAAUGAGACAGGGGCUUACCAUAAGUAGUACUCGGCUUCCACAGUAUACUUACAUUGAGAUCUCUAAAGUACUCGUUAUAGUCUAGCGCAUAUCCCACGAGGUACUUGUCAGGAACUUCAAAUCCUACAACUGAAAAGAGAAGAACUUCAUUCAUUGAUUUGUCGUGUCUCAAACAAGCCCUGGAAACUUUGCAGGAGGCUUGGUGUAUAUCUGCUUUUUAAAUGCGUGCACAUGAAAGCAAUGCAGACCCCUGGAAGACUUGACAUCAACUAGGUACCAUUGAUGCUUAUCAGACAAAACCCCCAGGAUCACUCACAGUCUGGUCUGUAUCCGACGCUUCUGGGCGUUCUCUUCACCAGCAAGCUGUUGAGACAGAGGAUUGACAUAUAGAUCAACCACAGAAACAGCACAGGCUUGCAUUACAAGCACAGAGCCCACAUUACAACAUCACAGGCCUGCAUCACUACCAGCAUCUAAAAACAGCUGGAGGUGGGGGGCACUGAGGACCCACAGAGAGCGCUCUGCACAGAACCACACUGAGGAUCCACAGACAGCGCUCUGCAAAGAACCACACUGAGGAUCCACAGACAGCGCUCUGCAAAGAACCACACUGAGGAUCCACAGACAGCGCUCUGCAAAGAACCACACUGAGGAUCCAGAGAGCGCUCUGCACAGAACCACACUGAGGAUCCACAGAGAGCGCUCUGCACAGAACCACACUGAGGAUCCACAGACAGCGCUCUGCAAAGAACCACACUGAGGAUCCAGAGAGCGCUCUGCACAGAACCACACUGAGGAUCCACAGAGAGCGCUCUGCACAGAACCACACUGAGGAUCCAGAGAGCGCUCUGCACAGAACCACACUGAGGAUCCACAGAGAGCGCUCUGCACAGAACCACACUGAGGAUCCACAGAGAGACUGCACAGAACCACACUGAGGAUCCACAGAGAGCGCUCUGCACAGAACCACACUGAGGAUCCACAGAGUGCGCUCUGCACAGAACCACACUGAAAAUCCACAGAGAGACUGCACAGAACCACACUGAGAAUCCACAGAGAGCGCUCUGCACAGAACCACAUUGAGGAUCCACAGAGAGCGCUCUGCACAGAACCACACUGAGGAUCCACAGAGAGCGCUCUGCACAGAACCACACUGAGGAUCCACAGUCCCCAUUGAAUUGAAUUGAGAGGGAGGUCUACAUGUUGAUCUGGUCUUAUUAUAAAUAAGGAGGGUAGUGUAGAGCAGGGAUGAAGGUUGAUCAUCUCAAUCGCUGGCUGUGUUAACAUGCUGUGUUCAUAGAAGUGCAGUCAGCUAUUCCCUUCACAAUCACAAGGGGAUGCAAUACCACUCACUCCCACCAGAGGGUGCUACAGCACCGUCGUUCUGCAAGACGUCACAAAGGCCACCUGCCCGUGCUGCUUGUAGUACAGCAGCUGUGCAGCUGGGGAGAGGAGACAGGCUUUGAAGAACAGGCUACAGCAAUUCAAACCGAGCCCAUCAGCUUACCUCGCCACCUUUACCAUCUUGGGGUUGAACUGUUUCAGCAACUUCAGUAAAGUCUUCAUGGUUUUGCCUGUGUCGAUAAUGUCCUGGAAUAAAAACAAGGCAAAUGUAACAAGAAAUAUAAUAAAUCCAUGAGCAGCAAAUUGGAAAACAAACCACACAAUGUGUUUGAGCUUUACAGAUGCAGAGACUCUAAAAGCAGGCUGCAUCCGCCAUCCCCACUGUGGUUUCAGUCUGGCUUACGAGUUCUGAGUUUGCAGUGAGACUUCUUAGACUGGUCUGAUGAGCAAGAAUUUAUAAUAAAUCACCACUCACCUCAACUAUCAGGACGUUCUGUGAGAGAGAGGGAGAGAGAGAGAGAGAUAAAGACUAGAUUGCAUUUAAAAAGGUGCAAUCUUACUACAUCGAUGAUGUCAUGGUUUUUAAGCCCUACCUUCCCAGUCAGUGUAGAAAGGUCGUCUCCCCCGAUAACUUUGAUUUCACCCGUCGACUGAUCAUUCUGAAAGGGAAAAAGAAACCACAAAACAGCACGAUAAAUAACCUGCAGACAGACAGACAGAUCCACUUCAAGGGUGCCACUCCUGUCCUAUUUUGGGGAUUUUUGAUUAGUGGGUUGCUUGCUAAUUGAUGGCCAUGUUUGCUGCCUUCAUUUUUACUUGCUAGUUUAAGACUUUUAAAUACCCAAGUUUGUAGAGUAACUGAGGGCUAUCUGAAUCCUACUGGCUGUGUCCCCCUGAGCCUUAGCGAUCGUGAAAUGGGAAGGGGGCCCUCGGCUGUGCACAGCAGGGAGCAGAGGGUUCAAUUCCUUACACAGUAGCUCUUGAGCCUGAUGAAGUCCACUGUCAUGGGGAUGGACUUGUCACUGUUGCGGUUCAAGGCCUUGAUGUAAUCCAGCAGGUCAGCGAAGAACUUGUACCCGCCCUUCAGGACGCACAGCGCCACGAUGUGGUGACCGCCCAUAUCACGCAUGAUGUCACGGGCCAGGCGCUCCGUCCUGCAGGGGGAGAGAGAGAGAUCGCACCCAUCUGUUAGCUUGCCUGCGUUGAGGGUGUCCCUGGAUUGAUUCCUCUCGCCUCCUACACCCGCACUCUGCAGGGUCAGACGGCACAGAUCCAGGACGUGACCUGAGCUAUCUGUCUGCAUCUCACCCCGGCAGCUGGAAGUACUGAUCUAGAAAUCACAGCCCAGCCGUGACCGAGCAGAUCACAAGCAAACUGACAGCAGAAGAGUCUGAGGAAUCCAGCUCAAUCACACACAGAGAGAGGCUGUGUAGGAUUGUGAGGAUGAGAGAUGGAUUGAUUGCACAUCACUGUCUACUGCAUAUGAACUCACUUUAACAAGGAGGACGACUCGCUGGCCUCGUGGUGCACUGAACACACACACACACACGCAAGGAUCACAUUCACCCUGUUUACAGAGUUCCUCUGUAAAGCCAAACUUUAACUCCCUUAUAAAUGAAUGACCUUUUUAAAUAAAAUGCUUUUUUCUUUG